Molecule: ribosomal RNA, 583 nt
Filed under: uncultured bacterium
Lineage: Bacteria
Description: bacterial SSU rRNA
Rfam family: Bacterial small subunit ribosomal RNA
Source: RNAcentral
UUGAUCCUGUCUCAGAGCGAACGCUGGCGGCAGGCUUAACACAUGCAAGUCGAACGGGCUUCUUCGGAAGUCAGUGGCAGACGGGUGAGUAACACGUGGGAACGUGCCCUUCGGUUCGGAAUAACUCAGGGAAACUUGAGCUAAUACCGGAUACGCCCUUAUGGGGAAAGGUUUACUGCCGAAGGAUCGGCCCGCGUCUGAUCAGCUUGUUGGUGGGGUAACGGCCUACCAAGGCGACGAUCAGUAGCUGGUCUGAGAGGAUGAUCAGCCACACUGGGACUGAGACACGGCCCAGACUCCUACGGGAGGCAGCAGUGGGGAAUAUUGGACGAUGGGCGCAAGCCUGAUCCAGCCAUGCCGCGUGAGUGAUGAAGGCCUUAGGGUUGUAAAGCUCUUUUGUCCGGGACGAUAAUGACGGUACCGGAAGAAUAAGCCCCGGCUUAACUUCGUGCCAGCAGCCGAGGUAAUACGAAGGGGGCUAUCGUUGCUCGGAAUCACUGGGCGUAAAGGGCGCCGUACGCGGCCGAUUAAGUCCGGGGGUAAAGCCUGUGGCUCAACCACAUAAUAGCCUUCGAUACGGGUU